AACGAACGCUGGCGGCAUGCCUAACACAUGCAAGUCGAACGAGACCUUCGGGACUAGUGGCGCACGGGUUCGUAACGCGUGGGAACCUGCCCUUAGGUUCGGAAUAACUCCCCGAAAGGGGUGCUAAUACCGGAUAAUGUCUUCGGACCAAAGAUUUAUCGCCUUUGGAUGGGCCCGCGUUGGAUUAGCUAGUUGGUAGGGUAAAAGCCUACCAAGGCGACGAUCCAUAGCUGGUCUGAGAGGAUGGUCAGCCACACUGGGACUGAGACACGGCCCAGACUCCUACGGGAGGCAGCAGUGGGGAAUAUUGGACAAUGGGCGAAAGCCUGAUGCAGCAAUGCCGCGUGAGUGAUGAAGGCCUUAGGGUUGUAAAGCUCUUGUACCCGGGAUGAUAAUGACAGUACCGGGAGAAUAAGCCCCGGCUAACUCCGUG
Molecule: ribosomal RNA, 433 nt
Filed under: uncultured bacterium
Lineage: Bacteria
Description: partial 16S ribosomal RNA
Rfam family: Bacterial small subunit ribosomal RNA
Source: RNAcentral